RNAcentral lists this ribosomal RNA (569 nucleotides) under uncultured fungus. RNAcentral's name for it is "eukaryotic LSU rRNA". The stretch from base 208 to 361 matches the Rfam family "5.8S ribosomal RNA". The record is from RNAcentral. Lineage: Eukaryota; Fungi.
GUCGUACAGGUCUCCGUAGGUGAACCUGCGGAGGGAUCAUUACACAAAUAUGAAGGCGGGCUGGAACCUCUCGGGGUUACAGCCUUGCUGAAUUAUUCACCCUUGUCUUUUGCGUACUUCUUGUUUCCUUGGUGGGUUCGCCCACCACUAGGACAAACAUAAACCUUUUGUAAUUGCAAUCAGCGUCAGUAACAAAUUAAUAAUUACAACUUUCAACAACGGAUCUCUUGGUUCUGGCAUCGAUGAAGAACGCAGCGAAAUGCGAUAAGUAGUGAGAAUUGCAGAAUUCAGUGAAUCAUCGAAUCUUUGAACGCACAUUGCGCCCUUUGGUAUUCCAAAGGGCAUGCCUGUUCGAGCGUCAUUUGUACCCUCAAGCUUUGCUUGGUGUUGGGCGUCUUGUCUCUAGCUUUGCUGGAGACUCGCCUUAAAGUAAUUGGCAGCCGGCCUACUGGUUUCGGAGCGCAGCACAAGUCGCACUCUCUAUCAGCAAAGGUCUAGCAUCCAUUAAGCCUUUUUUUCAACUUUUGACCUCGGAUCAGGUAGGGAUACCCGCUGAACUUAAGCAUAUC